CCUACGGGAGGCAGCAGUGGGGAAUUUUGGACAAUGGGCGCAAGCCUGAUCCAGCAAUGCCGCGUGAGUGAAGAAGGCCUUCGGGUUGUAAAGCUCUUUUGUCAGGGAAGAAACGGUGGGGGCUAAUAUCUCCUACUAAUGACGGUACCUGAAGAAUAAGCACCGGCUAACUACGUGCCAGCAGCCGCGGUAAUACGUAGGGUGCAAGCGUUAAUCGGAAUUACUGGGCGUAAAGCGUGCGCAGGCGGUUUUGUAAGUCUGUCGUGAAAGCCCCGGGCUCAACCUGGGAAUUGCGAUGGAGACUGCAAGGCUUGAAUCUGGCAGAGGGGGGUAGGAAUUCCACGUGUAGCAGUGAAAUGCGUAGAGAUGUGGAGGAACACCGAUGGCGAAGGCAGCCCCCUCGGGUCAAGAUUGACGCUCAUGCACGAAAAGCGUGGGGAGCAAACAGGAUUAGAUACCCUGGUAGUCCACGCCCUAAACGAAUAGUCUACUAAGUUGUUCGGGUUUUUAAGUUUAAAACUUUAGGUUAAACGGACAGCUAACGACGUGAAGUAAGAACGCCUCGGGGAGGUACGGUACGGCAAGAAUAAAACUUAACAAAAGAAAGUUAAGAGGACGNGAGACGUGACGACGACGACGAACGACGGGAGGUUAGGAGGAGAG
RNAcentral lists this ribosomal RNA (663 nucleotides) under uncultured bacterium. Its description in RNAcentral is "bacterial SSU rRNA". The stretch from base 1 to 562 matches the Rfam family "Bacterial small subunit ribosomal RNA", at positions 338 to 873 of the family's 1533-position model. The record is from RNAcentral.